UUCAGUGCAGGGUGGUGGAGACCUGAUGAUACCCAACUACCAGCUGUGGGGUGAGGAGGAGCAUGAAUGGAGACAGAGACCCCAGAUAAUUAAGGACGUCCCACUUUGCCAGCAGAAUAAAAGGUGGUAUGUAUCUUGUGACAUGUAUCAGGUGAAGGAUGCUUUUGUGCAUCUGUGUGUGUGUGCCUGGGGUGUGUAUGUGUCAGGUACUGUAUGUAGUCAUUUUGUCACUUUGUCAUUUUGGGGUCUGGAGGGCUCCUCCAACCAUGUUUCUGAGUAUACAUUCACGUGCAAUGGUGUGCCUGACUAUACAUUCAAGUGCAAGGCCAAGAAUGUUUGUUAGAAAGACUGAGUAGUCCCAGACUUAAUAAAUAUUUGUUGAGUACUUUUGUGGUGCUCUGGGAAGCCAGAAGUUGUUUAAAAUAAAUCUCUCCAACACCAGUAGGGUAAAGGCACAGGAGGUCACAGCACUCAGCAGUUCAGUAUAAGCCUUUAUUCAAGCUGUUUUCUCCCAAAGUAAACAGACAGACAAUGUCACUUCUAUCUGAGAAGCCUGGAGGCCAAGGGGAUUUGGGCAGUUUUGACAUCCUGUGCUGGCCCCUGACAGCCCAGCCCUGGGAUGGACGACUUGGAUGCAGGGACUGGACCGUUCAGGAGCUGGGGCAUUGUGGGAGUGGCCAUUAUGUCUGUCCUGGUUUGGGGGUCUGAAGGGGGUCCUUCAACUGUGUUUCUGAACAGGAUGAGGCUUUUGAGGGGGGUUGGGAAGGUGGCCAAGCCCUUCCCAGACUUCCACCCCCCAUCACAGAAGAGGAGGCCUGUCUAGGUCAGCUAAAUCCGAGGAGGAAGACUGGGCAUGUCUGGGCAGCGAUCUCUAGACAUCGGAGAGCAGAUGUCAGAACUCACAGCUUCUCCAAAGCAGGAUUUUGAUCUUUUAACUAAAGAUAUCCGUUCAAACU
This 956-nucleotide small RNA is filed under the name Mus musculus (house mouse). Its description in RNAcentral is "DINO". The record is from RNAcentral. Lineage: Eukaryota; Metazoa; Chordata; Mammalia; Rodentia; Muridae.